Molecule: ribosomal RNA, 708 nt
Filed under: Lysinibacillus xylanilyticus
Lineage: Bacteria; Bacillati; Bacillota; Bacilli; Caryophanales; Bacillaceae
Description: bacterial LSU rRNA
Rfam family: Bacterial large subunit ribosomal RNA
Source: RNAcentral
GGUUUACCGAAUUCAGACAAACUCCGAAUGCCAGAUAUUUAUACACGGGAGUCAGACUGCGAGUGAUAAGAUCCGUAGUCAAAAGGGAAACAGCCCAGACCACCAGCUAAGGUCCCAAAGUAAUCGGUAAGUGGAAAAGGAUGUGGCGUUGCACAGACAACCAGGAUGUUGGCUUAGAAGCAGCCAUCAUUUAAAGAGUGCGUAAUAGCUCACUGGUCGAGUGACGCUGCGCCGAAAAUGUAUCGGGGCUAAACGAUUCACCGAAGCUGUGGAUUGACAUCUACGAUGUCAGUGGUAGGAGAGCGUUCUAAGUGCGUUGAAGUCAGACCGGAAGGACUGGUGGAGCGCUUAGAAGUGAGAAUGCCGGUAUGAGUAGCGAAAGACGGGUGAGAAUCCCGUCCACCGUAUGACUAAGGUUUCCUGAGGAAGGCUCGUCCGCUCAGGGUUAGUCGGGACCUAAGCCGAGGCCGAUAGGCGUAGGCGAUGGACAACAGGUUGAUAUUCCUGUACCACCUCCUCACCGUUUGAGAAAUGGGGGGACGCAGUAGGAUAGGGUAAGCGCGCUGUUGGAUAUGCGCGUCCAAGCAGUAAGGCGUGUGUGUAGGCAAAUCCGCACACUAUAACGUUGAGCUGUGAUGGCGAGUCCGUAUGGACGAAGUUCCUGAUUUCACACUGCCAAGAAAAGCCUCUAUCGAGGUGAGAGGUGCC